UUAAUACCGCAUAAUAUCACUUGAUGGCAUCUGAAGGUGAUUAAAGCUACGGCGAUAAAAGAUGGGCAUGCGUGACAUUAGCUAGUUGGUUGAGGUAACGGCUCACCAAGGCGACGAUGUCUAGGGGUUCUGAGAGGAUGAUCCCCCACACUGGUACUGAGAUACGGACCAGACUCCUACGGGAGGCAGCAGUAGGGAAUAUUGGGCAAUGGACGCAAGUCUGACCCAGCCAUGCCGCGUGCAGGAUGAAGGCCUUCUGGGUUGUAAACUGCUUUUAUCUAGGAAGAAAAAACUCUUGCUAGAGGAACUGACGGUACUAGAUGAGUAAGCACCGGCUAACUCCGUGCCAGCAGCCGCGGUAAUACGGAGGGUGCAAGCGUUGUCCGGAUUUAUUGGGUUU
This 400-nucleotide ribosomal RNA is filed under the name uncultured Candidatus Amoebophilus sp. RNAcentral describes it as "bacterial SSU rRNA". It matches the Rfam family "Bacterial small subunit ribosomal RNA", at positions 163 to 561 of the family's 1533-position model. The record is from RNAcentral. Lineage: Bacteria; Pseudomonadati; Bacteroidota; Cytophagia; Cytophagales; Amoebophilaceae.